GAUGUAUAAAAUAACAUAUUUUUGUGUGUAAUAUUACAAUCAUCUGCUAUACAAUAUUAAAUCUUGGCAACACUGACCAGACUUUUGCUCAUCGCAGUUUUGAUCUGGUUGGCGACGGUGCGCCAUAUUGAAUUUUGUUGCUUCCUUGUAAGAUUCGUCAAUUCAACCAUUGGAAAACCGUCACGGUUUUAUAUAACCGUCAGGAAUAUGGAUACCUGGGGCGCAGCUAAAUCGGCCUGAAAUAAACAGACGUCUUCAUAAUCAAAUUGGCGAUCGUGGCCGUCAGCUGCUGAACAUUCAACAGCUCGGAAGCGGUGAACGAAGUAACGUCGGACCACAGGAUAUACACGGAACAUACCAUUUGUCAAUUCAACCAGGGGAACCGGAAAACGUUUUCAUAACCAACAUCUUGGCAAUCGUGGCCGUCAGCUGCUGAACAUUCAUCGAACAUCUCGGAAGCGGUGAACGAGGGUAACGCCAUGGAUUGGACUACAGGAUGUACACGGAACAUACCCAUUCGAAGUUCUCCUAGAUCAUCGAUUUUCGUGUCGCUCGGUUUGAAAGGUGCAACAUGGUUAUUCAUCCGAAACUGGCCUGCGAGUUUCAGGUGAGGAGCUGCACACCUGUCGCCACACCAGUUCACUGAAUCACAGGAUCGUGUUUAGAUGACUUGCUGCCCCUGGCUGAUUUUGCUGCGUAUGGACAAAUAAUUAAACGGGCUGAUUGCGGCUUCUCCUAAGAACCCAUCUGUCUAGGCUUCCAGUCGGCGAAUAAUGAUAAAUUCUAAUCCGCUGAAGAGUACCGUUAUGUGCGUCAAUAGCUGUAUGGGAAAAACCCUAAAGAUUGGGAUAAAUGAAUUUCCUUUGUUCGAGUCCUGUGAAAAAAAAAUUAUGUGAGCAAAUUUGAAUAAUAAAAAAAUAUGUUCAAAAAACUGAAAA
Molecule: long non-coding RNA, 938 nt
Organism: Armigeres subalbatus
Lineage: Eukaryota; Metazoa; Arthropoda; Insecta; Diptera; Culicidae
Exons: 4
Source: RefSeq, a predicted model, not a curated record